Manduca sexta (tobacco hornworm) is the source of this 380-nucleotide long non-coding RNA. RefSeq lists it as uncharacterized. The record is from RefSeq and is a predicted model, not a curated record. The transcript has 2 exons. Lineage: Eukaryota; Metazoa; Arthropoda; Insecta; Lepidoptera; Sphingidae.
GGAAUCAAUUGCAUUAUAAGGAAAUCAUUUAAAACUAUUUUAUGCAAUAGUUUUGAUGAGUGCUGUAAUGAAGCAGUUGCAGAAAUAUUAUUACCAUCAGCUAUUGAGGUUUUAGAAAUGUGGAUUCAACAUUGUUGGUGUACAUGGAACUUAUCAUCGGACCAGAAAUUACUUUCGAUUUUAUUCAAGUUGCUGUAUAUAACAAAGGAAGAAUCAUUUGUAAGCCAGAUACACAACUUAAUCAUUAUUUUAAUAGGCUUAUGUACCAAAAAAGAACAAGUAAUAAUACUUGAGUCUUUAAAAUCUCCUGAUAUUAAAAGUAAUGAAUUUCUGCAAAGACUACAAAGAAUAAAUAAAGACUUGAGCAAAUAAAAUUUAAA